Molecule: ribosomal RNA, 246 nt
Filed under: uncultured bacterium
Lineage: Bacteria
Description: partial 16S ribosomal RNA
Rfam family: Bacterial small subunit ribosomal RNA
Source: RNAcentral
AGAUGGCGACCGGCGCACGGGUGAGUAACACGUAUCCAACCUGCCUCAUACUCGGGGAUGGCCUUUCGAAAGAAAGAUUAAUAUCCGAUAGCAUAUAUUUCCCGCAUGGGUUUUAUAUUAAAGAAAUUCGGUAUGAGAUGGGGAUGCGUUCCAUUAGUUUGUUGGGGGGUAACGACCCACCAAGACUACGAUGGAUAGGGGUUCUGAGAGGAAGGUCCCCCACAUUGGAACUGAGACACGGUCCAA